RNAcentral lists this unclassified non-coding RNA (239 nucleotides) under Hevea brasiliensis (rubber tree). The record is from RNAcentral. Lineage: Eukaryota; Viridiplantae; Streptophyta; Magnoliopsida; Malpighiales; Euphorbiaceae.
CUAUGUUGCCUCUUCCACCUAACAGUGGACGUAGCUCGGUUCCUUCAAUGUCCUCAAGCCAUGGUGGUGGCUAUGAAAGAAGUGUUUUUACCCCAUUCUGCAACUCCCCUGCACCUUCACAUUCUGAGAAGCCUUUUUCUCAAUCCUUUAGUGGAGUUAAGCCAAGUAGUAAAAUGGAAAGCCAAGAACGGAAAUCCAUGAGUUCCAGAAAUGAUCAAAGUUUGAAUAUCACACAGCAA